UUUUUCUUGUGUGCACGUGCACGCUCUCUCAAGUCAUUGCAUUGCCACCAAGAUGGUUGAUGGGGUGUAGAGUUCGAUUGCAUGUGGCUAUAAUGGAAAAUCUUGAAUUAUUGAAUUUUAAUGGUUAAUUGUGAUAUGUUAGCAAUCUAUAAUGGUAUCUUGAUCGGUGUCACAAAGUCUAAACGGGUCGAGAGAAUGCUUAGCCAAAUAAAAAUUAAAAUGAUAGGAAAGAGGACAUAGCUUGGUUUUCUUUGCUGGAGUUCUUCAAAUUUUAUGUUUAAUUCUAAAAUUACGGGACCAGCAACUUUAAGAUCUGUAAUGAGUGACGACCGAUGGCCAUGGAUAAAUGUAAGGCUCGUGAUUCAAGCAAAAAUGUAGUUAGGGAUAUCUUGAGAAUUGAAAAUUUGGGAAGUCAAUAUAUUUUACAUAAUAGUAAGAUGAAUGUGUCGAUCUCAAAUGAAUGUUACACUUUGCUCCAACAUAUACUAAUAAUAAAUUCAUAUUGAAUUAUUGAUGAGAUAUGGAUUCGUCAACUUGUGACUAACCAGACCAUCCAACCAGACUAGCUGACUAAUAAUAGCGAUCAAGUCGGCCGACCAGUAAUAAUGAACCAAGUGUCCUUGAUUGGAAGCAUAUUGAAGAUGAUUAAAACCCAUUAAGAGGGGCAAUUACAACUCCGCACACUCAUGAGAUGCUUGUUGGGACGGUUACAGCUCAUUUCGCAUGCCGGACAACUAUUGCAUAUCUAAACGAUUAUCACACGUUUGAUAGUUAUAGUAUGCCCACUCUUUUAAGAUAAUGACUUUAUGCCCAUUCUCCAAUAUAUAGAGGGACCGAGGAACCUCUGGUUGCAUUUUUCUCUCUCUCUAACUCUAUUCUAUAUAGCUCUUUCAGAUCUUCCUUUUUUUUUUUUCAAACCUCAGUCUGACUUUGGCACCAGAAAAUCUUCAGCCGAAUUAAGUCCGUCAGCCUUCGGUGCUCUCUCUCCUAUUUAGGUCCGAGCAGAAGCCAUCCACUUGCAAUUAUUGACCAAUUCUUCCAACUCCCAUCUCAUCGGAUUUUGCACGCAUCAUCCAAAAAUUAGUACAUUGGUACUUUUGCCAAUAGUCACGGGGGCUUGGAUAGAAUGGCUCAACAAAAUCCACAACGAAUUAUAUCGGCCGAAGGAGUCUAAUUUUACAAUUAUAAGAAUACAACCAUUCUUUUAGCAAAAAUCUUCGUGAAUCAAAUAAAAAAAAAAAAAAAAAA
RNAcentral lists this long non-coding RNA (1248 nucleotides) under Phoenix dactylifera (date palm). Its description in RNAcentral is "long non-coding RNA (PDAC_LNC001710)". The record is from RNAcentral. Lineage: Eukaryota; Viridiplantae; Streptophyta; Magnoliopsida; Arecales; Arecaceae.